GGUACCUCAGCUGGUAAACAUCUCAGCAGGGCGAGUAAUGAAUGGGGCUCCUUGAGCUGAGUGCUGGCAGGCAAUGAGUGCAGAGACACAGGUGACCAGGCCGAGCGUCACUGAGAUUUGUAGGUCCUCUGCUCUGCCACAGAUGAACUAAAAACUCUACAAAACAGUCGUGCAGUGCUUGAGAGAG
Molecule: long non-coding RNA, 187 nt
Filed under: Coturnix japonica (Japanese quail)
Lineage: Eukaryota; Metazoa; Chordata; Aves; Galliformes; Phasianidae
Description: lncRNA (ENSCJPG00005016697.1)
Source: RNAcentral